GUGGGUAGCAAACAGGAUUAGAUACCCUGGUAGUCCACGCUGUAAACGAUGGACGCUAGGUGUUGGUGGUUAGUAGCCAUCAGUGCCGAAGCUAACGCGUUAAGCGCCCCGCCUGGGGAGUACGGCCGCAAGGCUGAAACUCAAAGGAAUUGACGGGGGCCCGCACAAGCGGUGGAGCACGUGGUUUAAUUCGAUG
This 196-nucleotide ribosomal RNA is filed under the name uncultured bacterium. RNAcentral describes it as "partial 16S ribosomal RNA". It matches the Rfam family "Bacterial small subunit ribosomal RNA", at positions 761 to 956 of the family's 1533-position model. The record is from RNAcentral.